GCGGAUGUGGUGGAACUGGUAGACACGCUAGACUUAGGAUCUAGUGCCGCAAGGUGUGCAGGUUCGAUUCCUGUCAUCCGCACCA
Molecule: transfer RNA, 85 nt
Filed under: Flavobacteriaceae bacterium
Lineage: Bacteria; Pseudomonadati; Bacteroidota; Flavobacteriia; Flavobacteriales; Flavobacteriaceae
Also listed under: 5 other names
Description: tRNA-Leu
Rfam family: tRNA
About the family: Transfer RNA (tRNA) molecules are approximately 80 nucleotides in length. Their secondary structure includes four short double-helical elements and three loops (D, anti-codon, and T loops).
Source: RNAcentral